This 253-nucleotide long non-coding RNA is filed under the name Nicotiana benthamiana. Its description in RNAcentral is "long non-coding RNA (NBEN_LNC005930)". The record is from RNAcentral. Lineage: Eukaryota; Viridiplantae; Streptophyta; Magnoliopsida; Solanales; Solanaceae.
UGAAGCUGACAGAUCCCUUGGCUGUGGAGCACGAAUUUAUUGAAGUAUUCAAGUCAUUGAUGGGUGAAUGUGCUGAUGAAUUGCCUUGCAUUAAUACUGCUAUUGUUAAGGAAGGACACUGUCUGACCUUAUCACAGCAAAGUCACUUAUUCAGGAUGUUACUAUGGAAGAAAUCACUGAAGCUGUUAAGGAUAUGCCUAAAGACAAAGCACCAGAUGUAGAUGGCUUCCCUGUGGAGUUCUUUACUAGCAAC